Molecule: ribosomal RNA, 2902 nt
Filed under: Escherichia coli
Lineage: Bacteria; Pseudomonadati; Pseudomonadota; Gammaproteobacteria; Enterobacterales; Enterobacteriaceae
Also listed under: 1 other name
Description: bacterial LSU rRNA
Rfam family: Bacterial large subunit ribosomal RNA
Source: RNAcentral
UUAAGCGACUAAGCGUACACGGUGGAUGCCCUGGCAGUCAGAGGCGAUGAAGGACGUGCUAAUCUGCGAUAAGCGUCGGUAAGGUGAUAUGAACCGUUAUAACCGGCGAUUUCCGAAUGGGGAAACCCAGUGUGAUUCGUCACACUAUCAUUAACUGAAUCCAUAGGUUAAUGAGGCGAACCGGGGGAACUGAAACAUCUAAGUACCCCGAGGAAAAGAAAUCAACCGAGAUUCCCCCAGUAGCGGCGAGCGAACGGGGAGCAGCCCAGAGCCUGAAUCAGUGUGUGUGUUAGUGGAAGCGUCUGGAAAGGCGUGCGAUACAGGGUGACAGCCCCGUACACAAAAAUGCACAUGCUGUGAGCUCGAUGAGUAGGGCGGGACACGUGGUAUCCUGUCUGAAUAUGGGGGGACCAUCCUCCAAGGCUAAAUACUCCUGACUGACCGAUAGUGAACCAGUACCGUGAGGGAAAGGCGAAAAGAACCCCGGCGAGGGGAGUGAAAAAGAACCUGAAACCGUGUACGUACAAGCAGUGGGAGCACGCUUAGGCGUGUGACUGCGUACCUUUUGUAUAAUGGGUCAGCGACUUAUAUUCUGUAGCAAGGUUAACCGAAUAGGGGAGCCGAAGGGAAACCGAGUCUUAACUGGGCGUUAAGUUGCAGGGUAUAGACCCGAAACCCGGUGAUCUAGCCAUGGGCAGGUUGAAGGUUGGGUAACACUAACUGGAGGACCGAACCGACUAAUGUUGAAAAAUUAGCGGAUGACUUGUGGCUGGGGGUGAAAGGCCAAUCAAACCGGGAGAUAGCUGGUUCUCCCCGAAAGCUAUUUAGGUAGCGCCUCGUGAAUUCAUCUCCGGGGGUAGAGCACUGUUUCGGCAAGGGGGUCAUCCCGACUUACCAACCCGAUGCAAACUGCGAAUACCGGAGAAUGUUAUCACGGGAGACACACGGCGGGUGCUAACGUCCGUCGUGAAGAGGGAAACAACCCAGACCGCCAGCUAAGGUCCCAAAGUCAUGGUUAAGUGGGAAACGAUGUGGGAAGGCCCAGACAGCCAGGAUGUUGGCUUAGAAGCAGCCAUCAUUUAAAGAAAGCGUAAUAGCUCACUGGUCGAGUCGGCCUGCGCGGAAGAUGUAACGGGGCUAAACCAUGCACCGAAGCUGCGGCAGCGACGCUUAUGCGUUGUUGGGUAGGGGAGCGUUCUGUAAGCCUGUGAAGGUGUACUGUGAGGUAUGCUGGAGGUAUCAGAAGUGCGAAUGCUGACAUAAGUAACGAUAAAGCGGGUGAAAAGCCCGCUCGCCGGAAGACCAAGGGUUCCUGUCCAACGUUAAUCGGGGCAGGGUGAGUCGACCCCUAAGGCGAGGCCGAAAGGCGUAGUCGAUGGGAAACAGGUUAAUAUUCCUGUACUUGGUGUUACUGCGAAGGGGGGACGGAGAAGGCUAUGUUGGCCGGGCGACGGUUGUCCCGGUUUAAGCGUGUAGGCUGGUUUUCCAGGCAAAUCCGGAAAAUCAAGGCUGAGGCGUGAUGACGAGGCACUACGGUGCUGAAGCAACAAAUGCCCUGCUUCCAGGAAAAGCCUCUAAGCAUCAGGUAACAUCAAAUCGUACCCCAAACCGACACAGGUGGUCAGGUAGAGAAUACCAAGGCGCUUGAGAGAACUCGGGUGAAGGAACUAGGCAAAAUGGUGCCGUAACUUCGGGAGAAGGCACGCUGAUAUGUAGGUGAAGCGACUUGCUCGUGGAGCUGAAAUCAGUCGAAGAUACCAGCUGGCUGCAACUGUUUAUUAAAAACACAGCACUGUGCAAACACGAAAGUGGACGUAUACGGUGUGACGCCUGCCCGGUGCCGGAAGGUUAAUUGAUGGGGUCAGCGCAAGCGAAGCUCUUGAUCGAAGCCCCGGUAAACGGCGGCCGUAACUAUAACGGUCCUAAGGUAGCGAAAUUCCUUGUCGGGUAAGUUCCGACCUGCACGAAUGGCGUAAUGAUGGCCAGGCUGUCUCCACCCGAGACUCAGUGAAAUUGAACUCGCUGUGAAGAUGCAGUGUACCCGCGGCAAGACGGAAAGACCCCGUGAACCUUUACUAUAGCUUGACACUGAACAUUGAGCCUUGAUGUGUAGGAUAGGUGGGAGGCUUGGAAGUGUGGACGCCAGUCUGCAUGGAGCCGACCUUGAAAUACCACCCUUUAAUGUUUGAUGUUCUAACGUUGACCCGUAAUCCGGGUUGCGGACAGUGUCUGGUGGGUAGUUUGACUGGGGCGGUCUCCUCCUAAAGAGUAACGGAGGAGCACGAAGGUUGGCUAAUCCUGGUCGGACAUCAGGAGGUUAGUGCAAUGGCAUAAGCCAGCUUGACUGCGAGCGUGACGGCGCGAGCAGGUGCGAAAGCAGGUCAUAGUGAUCCGGUGGUUCUGAAUGGAAGGGCCAUCGCUCAACGGAUAAAAGGUACUCCGGGGAUAACAGGCUGAUACCGCCCAAGAGUUCAUAUCGACGGCGGUGUUUGGCACCUCGAUGUCGGCUCAUCACAUCCUGGGGCUGAAGUAGGUCCCAAGGGUAUGGCUGUUCGCCAUUUAAAGUGGUACGCGAGCUGGGUUUAGAACGUCGUGAGACAGUUCGGUCCCUAUCUGCCGUGGGCGCUGGAGAACUGAGGGGGGCUGCUCCUAGUACGAGAGGACCGGAGUGGACGCAUCACUGGUGUUCGGGUUGUCAUGCCAAUGGCACUGCCCGGUAGCUAAAUGCGGAAGAGAUAAGUGCUGAAAGCAUCUAAGCACGAAACUUGCCCCGAGAUGAGUUCUCCCUGAGACUUUAAGUCUCCUGAAGGAACGUUGAAGACGACGACGUUGAUAGGCCGGGUGUGUAAGCGCAGCGAUGCGUUGAGCUAACCGGUACUAAUGAACCGUGAGGCUUAACCUU